Molecule: ribosomal RNA, 672 nt
Filed under: uncultured archaeon
Lineage: Archaea
Description: bacterial SSU rRNA
Rfam family: Archaeal small subunit ribosomal RNA
Source: RNAcentral
CGUGGCUAAUCUGCCCUUGGGACAAGAACACCCCCGGGAAACUGGGGCUAAUUCUCGAUAGGUGAAGAACUCUGGAAUGAGUCUUCGCUUAAAAGAUGCUGGGGUUAUGCUCUCCAGUUUCGCCCAAGGAUGAGGCCGCGACCGAUCAGGUUGUUGGUGAGGUAAUGGCUCACCAAGCCUUUUACCGGUGCGGGCCGUGAGAGCGGGAGCCCGGAGAUGGGCACUGAGACAAGGGCCCAGGCCCUACGGGGCGCAGCAGUCGCGAAAACUUUGCAAUAAGCGAAAGCUUGACAGGGCUAUCCCGAGUGCCAUCCGCUGAGGAAGGCUUUUACCCAGUCUAGAACGCUGGGGGAAUAAGGAGAGGGCAAGUCUGGUGUCAGCCGCCGCGGUAAUACCAGCUCUCCGAGUGGUGUGGAUGUUUAUUGGGCCUAAAGCAUCCGUAGCUGGCUAGGUUAGUCCCCUGUUAAAUCCACCGAAUUAAUCGUUGGAUUGCGGGGGAUACUGCUUGGCUAGGGGACGAGAGAGGCAGACGGUAUUUCCGGGGUAGGGGCGAAAUCCUAUAAUCCCGGGAAGACCACCAGUGGCGAAGGCUGUCUGCUAGAACGCGCCCGACGGUGAGGGAUGAAAGCUGGGGGAGCGAACCGGAUUAGAUACCCGGGUAGUCCCAGCUGU